This is an RNA transcript of Brassica napus (rape), 8203 nucleotides long. It is a transcript of the gene named glycerol-3-phosphate 2-O-acyltransferase 6, with no coding region annotated. The record is from RefSeq and is a predicted model, not a curated record. The transcript is spliced from 4 exons. Lineage: Eukaryota; Viridiplantae; Streptophyta; Magnoliopsida; Brassicales; Brassicaceae.
CAAACGACUUCUGUUACCGUGUCCUACACGUCUUUAACUCAUUUUUUCUCUCUAUCUUCGCCACUAAUCACACUUCAUGCAUGGCUCAUGGGAACGAUGACGAAGCGGCGUCGCUUUAAGCCUAUGUCAAGCUACAACGUAAACGCUGAAGACCGAUCAAACCAAACCGUAGUCGCCGAUCUUGACGGAACCCUAACAUCCUCCUCGAGACCACUCCUCUACUUCUUCCUCGUUGCACUCAAAGCAGGAAGCUUGCUUCGUGCGUUGAUCUUACUCGCGUCCGUACCACUCGUGCACCUCACGUAUCUCUUCGUCUCCGAAAGCCUCGCCGUCAAAGUCGCAGUCUUUAUCACAUUCGCUGGCCUUAAGCUCGGCGACGUCGAGCACGUGGCCCGCCACGUCUUAGCAAGAGUCUACGAGAAAGAGUUGAAGCGGGACACGUGGCGUAUUUUCGAGGCGUUCGGGAAACGGUACAUUGUGACGGCGAGUCCUAGGGUCAUGGUCGAGCCGUUCGCUAAGAACUUUCUUGGCGCUGAUAAAGUUAUUGGUACGGAGCUUGGGUUCACAAGGUUUGGUUGGUUAACCGGUUUCGCUAGAAAACCGGGUGUCAUGUUGGGUAAGCAGAAACGCGACGCCGUUUUGAAGGAGUUCAGUGGUGGUGGUGGUGGGAUUGGCUUACCUGAUUUGGGGCUGGGUGAUAGCCAGUCAGAUUACUCUUUCAUGUCUCUCUGCAAGGAGGCUUACAUGGUGUAACGGACAACAUAUGUGUCAUACAGUGUCUAUGUUACUUGCCUUGCAAUGCGACAAUAAUGUUAAUUUCUAAGUAAUUACGUGUGGCAAAAUGCUAAUUCUAAUAAAAUUAUCCGACUACUGUUUUUGUUUCCGAUAUUUUACUACAGAGAUUUCGAAGCCAAUAUUAAUUCUUGGUUGUGUUUAGGCCUUUAGGGUAUGACUUGAUAUAUAUAGUUUGUGUCACGUGAAAGGUUAUAUGUUUCCAUUUUAGAACUCUCGGACCCCAAUUUUACUUUUACUAUUUUCCAAAUUCCUGUUUUGGUUUUCACUGUGUAAAUGUUAUUUAAGGAAACUUUCCUUGUUUUUAUUUGGCUCAAUUAAAAGUUGCCAUAAUUAUCUCUAAUUCUACUUAUAUUAUACAUUUUCCGGACGACGUCACGUCCAUGCUGAUGUUUUAGUUUGCUUCCUUUCUUCAAUUGUCCCAAUAAAACUUUUUGAUGAUUAGUAGGGGAAAUAAAAUUUAAUUAGAUUAAUGUAAAAAAUCGUUAAUUAGUAAUUUAGUAUAGAUAACAAUCUACAUUAUAAUAAGACAGUUUCAUCAUAUUUGUGGGGCCCAGCCUUUAGUUUUUUUUUUUUUCUUCUGUCGAGUGGGUUUCGUUUUUAAAGGCGUGAGCUUUGCUGGGCCUUCACUUUCAUGAGACGCUGGGUGUGUUCGUCGGGGGUCGAUAGGGUUGCCGUCUUUCGCUAGAUCUUUCAAUCGAGGGCUCUUCCUCUUCCCCUUUUGUUAUUACUCCAUCAUUAUGAACCGAUCUUCGAUGUUGUCGCGAUUCCUCUUCCUGUAACGCCUUUCCGUUCCUAUAUAUCAAGAUUGUUGGGGUGGAUCUACAUCCUAUCUCAAGACCCAUUAGACAAUAAAUUAUGCUCAUUUUACUAUGAAGCUCUAGCUUCUUCUUUGUAUAAAUAAAGAGACAUCUCUCUUUAGCAUAGGAUCUUCUCUUCUUCCAUUUUAGACCUAGAACACAUCUUACAAAGAGUUUAUAUCAUUUUAGAUUUACUUUACACUAGAAAUUAUUCUUGUAAUACAAUCUAUGAUCAAUAAACUCUUUUUGAUGUUCAUUUCUCAUUUGGUUCUUUCAAGAUUUCUCCUAAACCUCAAGAAUCUAAUCUUUUAUUUUUAGAUUCUUUAUUUGAUUGAUUCCAACAAACACCACCAACAUAAACACCGUUUUUGGAUCAAACAGUUGGCGCUAGAAGGAGGGGGCUAAGGAGAACUAUCUUCAAAGCAUUUCAUACUUGGAAAAAUCUGAGAUAUGUGCUCAUCGAUCUCGGUUCAUACAAACGCUAAAAAGAUAAGUUUCACAACCUUAUCUUAUUGUUAAAAUUGGAUUCGAGAUUAUGGCUACACAUGCUUAGUCUACUAAAGAUUUUUUUUUUAUAAAAAAAAAAAAAAAAAAAAAUUUCUGACUUAGGAGGAGUCGUGACUCGUCACCGACGACGACUCUGGGAGAUCAAAUCGAAGACGGACGACGCCGAUGGGGCUGUGGCUGCUUUCUCGCAUUGGUCGAGUUCCGUUCCAUCCCCACCAAAGACGAACUAGCCCGUGACGGAAGGAGAAAAGAGAGAGAUCUUUCUCACCUCGACGGCGGAGGAGUCACGACCGACGACGACUCUCAGAUAGAGCUCCGGCAAAGGAAGCGGAGGCAGUCGCGGGUCGAUCCUAAGCUGACGAGAUUUCAGACAACUUCUAAUCUCCAGCGAGCUUGUAAAAGGACGAUGUCGUCGUUGCUUUCUCAGAUCCGUCGAGCUCCAUCUCCAGUCUUCACCAGACACCUAGCGGGAUUUGGGUCGAAGAAAACAGAUCCCGUAAUCAGAUGAUGACAAGAGAAAUCAACAAAAGGCUCGUCCUUUAAGAUCAACAGAUCGGAGCAAAAGAGAUUGAUGAUAACAUGUCAAAGUUUGAAGCUCCUGUCUCGAUCCGCCGGUGACUGCGUCAUCUCCGACGAAGACUUCCGACUCCAGCGACGACGAUCGUCGCUUCUCGCUAAACACCGCAUCGAUCUCCGAUGACUCCGCCGGCGGCUCCUUCUCCUGCAGUAGCCGUACCAUUCAGACGAAGCCCUCGAAACGGUGACGUCGUUGUUCUCCAGAGAAUCCAGAUCGAACUUCUCCUCAAGCUUUCAGUCCGAGAACAAGCUAGGCGAUUUGAGUGUCUGAAGUUUCAUGUUUGUUGCGACCUUGAUGAGUGGAAGGACAAGAUGGCAAUCUCGUGGCAAGGUGAUUACGAGAUUUGUUUGUCUCAACUAGGGCUUCCUUUCUCGUCGUUGCCGUCGGAAGUUAUCAUCUUUAAAGCCGCAAGACGACGAGCUCGUACCCGAACUCCACCGUUUUCUCCACAAAGGAAACAGCUUCAGCAUUCUCCAAAGAAGAGACGAGCUAGAGAGAGUGUUGAGAGGAGCUUACAAACAACACCACAUCAGCUGGCUAUCGGAUUUACAUAGCUUCUCUGCCUGACCACGAGUUCACCAAAAGGCGACAGUUAGUGAAGUCAGUGAACGAGAUCAACAUCUUGCUUCUUCAUCAAUACCUUGCUUCUUCAUCAAGCAAGCCCUCAAGACAAGCACCACACAGAGAACUUCAAGCUUACCGUUGCAAGAUGAACCGAUUCUCUGUUUCCUCUGCUCUGCUACGUGAUGAUGGUAACCCGCUGAACCUUCUUCCAUGAAGUAUCAUAGAAUACAUGGCAGAGGAGAAGGAAGAAGAGAAGCCAUGCUAUCUGUUUCCAUUGAAGAAGACGAGCACGGUAGAUUACUCAACGAUCUCGGAAAAGGCUGUAACCGGCUCAAUCCUCUUAAGAAUAAAAAGGCUCGACCUUUUGUGCUCCAUCAGUGACGUCUUUGAGCUCUAUCAAGAUGAGAAGAGUUCGAUAAGAACAAGCUCAAGCUCAGCCAUGAUCUCUAGAGCAGCUCAAGGCUUGAGGACACCAGCACCGAGAAGCUCGAGCUUGCCAUCACAAAUACAGUUCUGGUCUUGCCUUGGAAGUACGAGACACGGCCUUACCUUCAUCUCUAUACGUUGUCAGCAGCUCCAAGCUUUGUUCAAGCUCAAAAGAGAGAGAGGGAGAGAAGAAAACAGAGGAACGUGAUGGACUAUGACCAGAUCAGCGUCUCUUUAUGCUCAGCUCAUGAUCAUGCCGACGUCAAGCUCUCCAACAAGGUCUUGCUUCUUGAGGGAUCAUCUCGUCUCACCCCGUCAAUGGCUGCUCUCUCGUUACGACCGAAUCCUUGAGCUCGUGCGGUUUAACGUCGGACAAUAGGCACGUGCUUUACUCAGCACUGGCCACGUCUUCAAGCGCUCCACCGCUAGAAGCUUGUUCCUGGCUUCAAGCACUGCUUCAAGCUCCAAAAGGAACAGAAGAAAACAGAGGACAUGACCAGUGUGGUCUCUCUUCACGGUCCACUCAUGGUCAUCUACAAUUAAAAAAAAAAAAAGAGAUAAGUUUUCGAACCUUGUAAUAUGACCUACGAUUAUUAGAAGUUGCGUUGCUAAAUAAUCACUAGAUCAUCAUGCUAAGAGUAUGAGCUCCGCCUUGUCUCGUAACGUCUUUAGAAAGUUAAUUGUCUAGCUUUUUCUUCUCGUGAAUAUACAUGUUAAACAUUACUAUACAUAUGUAUAUCACGCUUUGAUCAUAUUAUAUUUAUGGUCACAGGAAAUCUGAUGAUCUCAUGAUGAGCUCGUUGUCACUAUGGAGCGUGAAAGACUGAGCCUUCUUGUGGGCAAGCCAUCGUGAGCAAGCAUAAGUUGAGUUCGGUCUCGGCAGCUACGUGAUCCCUACCUCAGAUGCUUGUUUCUUCUCCACCUCAAUGACGAGCUCAUAAUCUCCGAAGUGGCACGAGAUAUACGUUCGGUCACAGCAGCAUACACGCCAACAACUCGCUCGGCACACACGAUCUCAACACGAGAUUUCGGGUCGGCAAUUUUAGGCACGAGUUUAAAUUGAACUUGCUUUUUAUUAGGCACAAGUUUGUGGUCGACUCGCUUAUUGUUAGACACGAGUUUACAGAAACUCGUCUUUGGCUAGGCAUGAGUUUACAGAAAGCUCUCCUUCUACUAGGCACGAGCUCUCAGUAAACUCGCCUCUGUCUUAGCAGGAGUCAAGUAAACUCGUCUUUCACUAAGCACGAGUUUAAAGCAAACUCGCUUAUUACUAGACACAAGUUCGAAAUAAACUCGCCUAAACCGUCAUAGGCAUGAGUAUGUCUAGUUCAUUGUCUAAUAAACCCUAUUCGUAAACUUCGCAGAGAUCGAUUUCAUCUCUCUCAACGAACUUGGGGGACUUACUGUUGGGGAUGGAUUUAUAUCCUCUUCAAGGCCCAUUAGACAUUGAACUAGCUCAUAUUGCUAGGAAGCCCUAGGCUUCAUCUUUCUAUAAAUAAGAAGCUACCUCUUUAUGAGAAAGGAUCUUCUCCUCUUCUUAGAUUAAUAAACAUACUUUCAUAAAAAAAAAAAAAAGGAUGAAGCUUUCUUUCUCCUCCACACAAGUUCAUGAUCCGAUAAAAUAGAAGACCUGGACAUCCUCUGAUUCGCGAUGGCAGUUCCGUUGCUUCCUCCCGGAGAAGGUCUGUGGUGCUGCUUCGGUCUCGGUCCGCCGGUGAAGCUUCUGGGACUGCUCUUCUCGGACUGCUCGAGCUUCUUCCCGGCCCGUGAAACACGAUCUCCCCAGAUGUGUUGCGAUGAACUGGGUCUUUCAAGGUCAAGUGAGAGUCGCGAAGAACACGAACCCACCAAAGAGCCGAAGAUUCUCAUCAGAAGCGACGGCACCUGCACGAGCUUCUUUCCGGUCCACGCGAUUUUCUCAGAGGCGUUAAGAUGGACUGGGUUUUUCGAAAUCAAGCCAGAGGCUUGGAAGGUUAUCGGGAUCUCGCGGCCACAAGAGAAGGACGAUGACAGAGAUCAGCCCUAGCUUGCUCUGCUCCAUCGUUGCCUUCAGCAACAGGGCGUUAGGGGAUUCGAACAGAACACGGGUUGCUGGCGAGAUUGAGAUGAUUCAACAUCAGACAAUCUCACAAGGUAUCCUCAAACCGUUUGCUAACAAGCAGAAGCGAUUCCAGUUCCUUCCAUCUGUCGAUCCAAGAAGGUAACAAAUCGGAAAGGCCAGCGAAAAAAAAAGACAGCAAAGGGUGCGCUUCUCCACUGCCACGUCUCGAGUUUAAUCACGUGCCGAACUCAGCCUGUGUUGGAUCUCGGCUUCCAACCUUCAUAUGAUCUCCUCCUCCUCGGGACAUAUAUAGCCUCGCCUGAUCAGAGCUCCUGCUGAAGCUAAAGAGAAAGUUUGAAACUUUAUCAUGAAGCUUUAUCAUGAAGUUCUGCACUUGAUAUCAGUAUCUUGCCGGCAUCUGCAUUCACUUCGACAACGGUCGAAAACUUUUCCUUCGAUGUCUUAAAAAAAAGUAUCUAUUCUCAUAGAAGGUCUCAAGAAGAACUCAGUCUUGCCUUGCUUCUUCAUCAAGCGAGCUCUCAAGACAAGUUUGACACAACCGGCACAAGCUUCUCGUUAAGAAGGAACAGCGCAUGAGACAUGUCCUAAUCUUCGUAUCAUCUCUCCAAGAAGCCUUCUCGUCAUGUUGAUCUCGUCGUAACAACAAAGCCUCUCGGCGACAGAGGCAAUUCGCACAAGCUUGCCAUCUGGUUGUGUUUCACUGCACUGGACACGUUCUCUGUUUUCUUCUAUCCCUUUGGAAAACUGAAUCAUAGCUUGAAGCGAACUCAGCGGCGGCAAGGUCUUGCUUCUUCACUCAUCAAUCAAAGAUAAGUGCUCUAUAACCUUGAUUGCUUCAUUGCUUGCAACCUGUGCAAACUGUUUAGUUGUAAAUAAAUUACUACUAUAUGCAACUUGUGAAGCUUUGAGUAAAACAAGUUUUGCCACUUGCUUAUUGAUUACACAAAACUUGAUUAUUUCUUUUGGUGAAUCUUAAUCUGAUCAUCAUCAUGUUUUCUGUAAGACAGAGCGUUGCUGCUCGUGUUAACCGCUACUCUUGCCAGAGACGUUGCUCUACGAGACGCUGCCCUUGCCGGUCACUCUGAUCCUGGACACGCCAUGUUUCUCUUAACAGCAAACAGAAAGUUUCUCAAACGUCAUCACAGCCUGACGAACAUACAAGCCAACAACUUGCUCGGCACUUACGAUCUCAACACGAGACUUUGGGUCGGCAAUAGUUCGGUAAACUUGUAUUUUGGGCACGAAUUUAAAUUGAAUUUGCUUUUUAUUAGGCACGAAUUUGCAUUAGACUCGCUUAUUGUUAGACACGAGUUUACAAAAUCUCGCCUUUGGCUAGGCAUGUGUUUACAGAAACUCCCCUUUUACUAGGCACAAGUUCUCAGUAAACUCGCUUUUGCCUCAGCAUGAGUCCAGUAAACUCGUCUUUCGCUAAGCACGAGUUAAAGUAAAAUUAUGCUCAUUUUACUAUGAAGCUCUAGCUUCUUCUUUGUAUAAAUAAAGAGACAUCUCUCUUUAGCAUAGGAUCUUCUCUUCUUCCAUUUUAGACCUAGAACACAUCUUACAAAGAGUUUAUAUCAUUUUAGAUUUACUUUACACUAGAAAUCAUUCUUGUAAUACAAUCUAUGAUCAAUAAACUCUUUUUGAUGUUCAUUUCUCAUUUGGUUCUUUCAAGAUUUCUCCUAAACCUCAAGAAUCUAAUCUUUUAUUUUUAGAUUUUUUAUUUGAUUGAUUCCAACAAACACCACCUAAUAUAAACACCGUUUUUGGAUCAAACAAAGAUCGUCUGCGGUUCUGAGAAUCUGAGAGAGGUUUUCGAAAUCUUAAAGGCAGGGGAGGUUUUCGAGUCUCUGGCGAUCCCUCUGAUGAAGCUGGUAUGGUUGAAAACUUUGGAGAUGGAGAGCUAAGGGAGACUUUCCAGUUUCAUCUUCAAUACUACAUCAUCAUAUGGAUACUGCCCAAAAUUGCGCCAGGUCUGGUGAUCUGGACAAUCAAAUCCGCCGUUCAAAGAUUAAAACCUGCCCCAUGAUUGAUUGAUUCUUUGAUCUUUAUAUGUUUCUACCAUACCAACAAGAUGGCUAUCUCUCCAUCAAAACCUCAGACAAGCUCACGGAGUUUCACCAGAGCUUUGGCAUUAGCAUAAGAUUAGCAUAAGAAUUAUGUUAGGUGACUUAAUUCGAGUGGCUACUCACCCUCAUGCUCUUCAUCAACUCCAUCUUCUCCUACGUGAUCACAAGAUUCGCAGAUCACUCCGAGCUCCAAUCUCCAUGUCUGAUGUGCUCUCAACAACAAAUGCGCCAAGGAAUAGGUUUACGUCCACUUUGGGUGAGAGUCUUGUGUAUGAUAAAGAAGAAGCUAGAGAGCUGUUUGUUUAGGAUCUCCGUUUGUUAUUGUUCUACUUCUACCAUCGGCGUACUUGUCUAAUAUGUAUUUGAUGAUUAUCUAAACCCAUUUCUGAGUACACUACCUUUUGGAUCA